AAUCUUCCUCCUUCCUCCUUCGCGCCUCCGGCACCAGUACUGGCACUCCAACGGCAGCAACCCACUAGCACUAUCGUCUUCACUCUUCAGUAAGCAAAUUUUUUUUUGGUUGUGUUAAUCUGUUGACCUAAUUUUGAGUUUUAAUCUCUUGAAGAAUCCAAACUUGGUAAGAUGCAUUUAGCCAAAGGUAGGAGUGGAAGCUCUUGGUAGGGUCAAACCAACUGGCGAAGAACAAGAAGCCAACGAUUGCUGGGUUGAUCUUUUCUGCUGGUAAUGUAGAGAGGCUUCGUAAUUUUGAGAGGCUAUCAGAAGAAGAAAUUGGUUUAUCUUGAUCCUGUUCGGGUUUAGAAUAUCUCCUUACUAAUCCAGGAUAUGAUGAAUGGUUAUCAAUAUCUGCAGAACUCUGUGGUGGGAUGCAUAUUUCAAUUACACGUGAAGCCAAGGCAUUUAGUCUUAACUCCCAAUACAUCUAAAUUUGAAAGAUAUGUGGAAGGCAAUCCAGUGAUCGACCAAUAUCCAGACCACAAUAAUAGAGUCAGCUGUGUGGCAACUAAAGGUGGGGAAGUUGGUCAUUGUGAGAAAUAAGUUAGGUACUAUCAGCAACUAAGUAAGGGAGUUUAGAUGUACUUUUAAAUGAUGUACACUUUCCUGAGAGACUAUAGGAAUGACAGAUUUUGAUUGUAUAUUGAUGAAUGAAUUCUCUUCAAGCA
Molecule: long non-coding RNA, 710 nt
Organism: Ipomoea nil (Japanese morning glory)
Lineage: Eukaryota; Viridiplantae; Streptophyta; Magnoliopsida; Solanales; Convolvulaceae
Exons: 6
Source: RefSeq, a predicted model, not a curated record